AUUGAACGCUGGCGGCAUGCUUUACACAUGCAAGUCGAACGGCAGCGCGGGCUUCGGCCUGGCGGCGAGUGGCGAACGGGUGAGUAAUGCAUCGGAACGUGCCCAGUAGUGGGGGAUAGCCCGGCGAAAGCCGGAUUAAUACCGCAUACGACCUGAGGGUGAAAGCGGGGGACCGAAAGGCCUCGCGCUUUUGGAGCGGCCGCUGUCGGAUUAGCUAGUUGGUGGGGUAAAGGCUUACCAAGGCGACGAUCCGUAGCUGGUCUGAGAGGACGACCAGCCACACUGGGACUGAGACACGGCCCAGACUCCUACGGGAGGCAGCAGUGGGGAAUUUUGGACAAUGGGGGCAACCCUGAUCCAGCCAUGCCGCGUGCGGGAAGAAGGCCUUCGGGUUGUAAACCGCUUUUGUUCGGGAAGAAAUCCUCUGGGCUAAUACCCCGGGGGGAUGACGGUACCGGAAGAAUAAGCACCGGCUAACUACGUG
RNAcentral lists this ribosomal RNA (484 nucleotides) under uncultured bacterium. Its description in RNAcentral is "partial 16S ribosomal RNA". It matches the Rfam family "Bacterial small subunit ribosomal RNA", at positions 28 to 507 of the family's 1533-position model. The record is from RNAcentral.